UACGGGGGGGGGGCAAGCGUUGUUCGGAAUUACUGGGCGUAAAGGGCUUGUAGGUGGCCAACUAAGUCCGACGUGAAAUCCCUAGGCUUAACCUAGGAACUGCGUCGGAUACUGGAUGGCUUGAAUCCGGGAGAGGGAUGCGGAAUUCCAGGUGUAGCGGUGAAAUGCGUAGAUAUCAGGAGGAACACCUGUGGUGUAGACGGCUUUCUGGACCAUUGCUGACGCUGAGACACGAAAGCGUGGGUAGCAAACAGG
Molecule: ribosomal RNA, 255 nt
Filed under: uncultured bacterium
Lineage: Bacteria
Description: partial 16S ribosomal RNA
Rfam family: Bacterial small subunit ribosomal RNA
Source: RNAcentral